UGAAUACGAGACGCUAAGGCGUCGAAGUAGUGUAUGUCAUACUUCCAAGAAAAGCUUGCACUGUCAUAGAUAAAAAACGCCUGUACCAUAACCGACACAGGUGGGUAGGUAGAGUAUACUAAGGGGCGCGAGAUAACUCUCUCUAAGGAACUCGGCAAAAUAACUCCGUAACUUCGGGAGAAGGAGUGCCUUAUUCGUAAGGUUGCAAUAACAAGAUCCAAGCAACUGUUUAUCAAAAACACAGGUCUCCGCUAAGUCGUAAGACGAUGUAUGGGGGCUGACGCCUGCCCAGUGCCAGAAGGUUAAAGAAGUUGGUUAGCAAUUGCGAAGCUGAUAACUGAAGCCCUGGUGAACGGCGGCCGUAACAAUAACGGUCCUAAGGUAGCGAAAUUCCUUGUCGGGUAAGUUCCGACCCGCGCGAAAGGCGUAAUGAUUUGGAUACUGUCUCGGAGAGGGGCUCGGUGAAAUAGACUUGUCUGUGAAGAUGCGGACUACCUGCACCAGGACAGAAAGACCCUAUGAAGCUUUACUGUAACUUGAAAUUGAAAUUGGACUUUAUUCGCGCAGUAUAGGUGGGAGGCGUUGAUUAUAAUCUUGUGGGAUUAUUGGAGCCAUCAGUGAGAUACCACUCUUGUAAUGUUAGAUUUCUAACUUUGAAUCAUUAUCUGGUCAAAGAACAGUUUCAGGCGGGCAGUUUGACCGGGGCGGUCGCCUCCUAAGCGGUAACGGAGGCGUACAAAGGUUUCCUCUGAACGGUUAGAAAUCGUAUCUAGAGUGUAAAGGCAUAAGGAAGCUUGACUGUGAGACCUACAAGUCGAGCAGGGACGAAAGUCGGUCUUAGUGAUCUGACGGUACUGAGUGGAAGGGCCGUCACUCAACGGAUAAAAGUUACUCUAGGAUAACAGGCUGAUCUCCCCCAAGAGUUCACAUCGACGGGGAGGUUUGGCACCUCGAUGUCGGCUCAUCGCAUCCUGGGGCGGUAGUACGUCCCAAGGGUUGGGCUGUUCGCCCAUGAAAGCGGUACGCGAGCUGGGUUCAGAACGUCGUGAGACAGUUCGGUCCAUAUCCGGUGUAGGCGUUAGAAUAUUGAGAGGAGCCUUCUUUAGUACGAGAGGACCGAGAAGGACAUACCUCUGGUGUACCAGUUAUCGUGCCUACGGUAAACGCUGGGUAGCUAUGUAUGGAGUGGAUAACCGCUGAAAGCAUCUAAGUGGGAAGCCCACCUCAAGAUAAGUAUUCUCC
Molecule: ribosomal RNA, 1242 nt
Filed under: metagenome
Description: bacterial LSU rRNA
Rfam family: Bacterial large subunit ribosomal RNA
Source: RNAcentral